CCCUUAGCUGUUCUGGGCCGCACGCGCGCUACACUGAUGCAUUCAACGAGCCUAUCCUUGACCGACAGGUCCGGGUAAUCUUUGAAUCUGCAUCGUGACGGGGAUAGAUUAUUGCAAUUAUUAAUCUUCAACGAGGAAUGCCUAGUAGGCGCAAGUCAUCAGCUUGCGUCGAUUACGUCCCUGCCCUUUGUACACACCGCCCGUCGCUCCUACCGAUUGGGUGUGCUGGUGAAAUGUUCGGAUCGGCCGUUUGUCGCGGUUUCCGCGGCUCGUGGCUGAGAAGUUCAUUAAACCCUCCCACCUAGAGGAAGGAGAAGUCGUAACA
Molecule: ribosomal RNA, 325 nt
Filed under: uncultured eukaryote
Lineage: Eukaryota
Description: partial 18S ribosomal RNA
Rfam family: Eukaryotic small subunit ribosomal RNA
Source: RNAcentral